This 348-nucleotide unclassified non-coding RNA is filed under the name soil metagenome. RNAcentral describes it as "partial contains 5.8S ribosomal RNA, internal transcribed spacer 2, and large subunit ribosomal RNA". The stretch from base 1 to 120 matches the Rfam family "5.8S ribosomal RNA", at positions 35 to 154 of the family's 154-position model. The record is from RNAcentral.
GAUGAAGAACGCAGCGAAAUGCGAUAAGUAAUGUGAAUUGCAGAAUUCAGUGAAUCAUCGAAUCUUUGAACGCACAUUGCGGCCGCCAGUAUUCUGGCGGGCAUGCCUGUCUGAGCGUCAUUUCAACCCUCAUGCCCCUAGGGCGUGGUGUUGGGGAUCGGCCAAAGCCCGCGAGGGACGGCCGGCCCCUAAAUCUAGUGGCGGACCCGUCGUGGCCUCCUCUGCGAAGUAGUGAUAUUCCGCAUCGGAGAGCGACGAGCCCCUGCCGUUAAACCCCCAACUUUCCAAGGUUGACCUCAGAUCAGGUAGGAAUACCCGCUGAACUUAAGCAUAUCAAUAAGCGGAGGA